CAAAAUUUGUCUUAAUUGUGAAGUGUCUGUGAAGUGUCUUAAAACCUGUUCUUUCAGAACCUUGCUCUUAAGUGGACAAUAUCCAAUUUCAUGAAUAUUACAUUUCAAAUUCAAAAAUGGACAUUUCCAAAGAUUAUUUUCAUAUAUGACGUUAUUUCAGCACUUACUUUUAAUUGGGUUGUGUCCAUUUUAUUUACGAAUUUUCCGUUUUUUUGUUCAAUUUAUUUCCACUUUGUCCUUUUGACAAAAAUUAGUUUUGACAAGGAAAUGUCAUUGACUUGUUUACUUACAAAAUUCAGGUGUAGGGGGAUUAGCAGACCACAACAUGAUCAAGAUGUUUUAGAAAACACUAUCAAUAUCUACCCGGAGCACGAACCAAUUAGAGGUUUUCCCGCGUUGUAGUCCAGAUGGUUCUGACAUAUCUUCAAAUUUGAAUUUACAUUACCUUUGAUGGGGCUAAUAUUUUCGUAUUGAUUGGAAGUUUUUUAAAAGUUCCAGAACACGAUAUUAAACGAAUUUUUACGAUACUUUCGUUUUUUUUUGAAAUAAAAGCAAUAUUUGUGAUGAUUAGAGAUGGUCGGUCGGAGAUCAGUUUUCAUGAAUUAACAACUCCUCACCACGCUUCAGAGUCAGAUCGACGACUCCCUGUUCUAGAACAUACACUGAACUUUCUUCACAUUUUUCCCUUCUUUUCCAAAUAAAUGCAUACCAUUUGAGAUGGUUAGAGGUAAAAGGUAGGUCGAUCACCAUUUUCUGCAUCAAAAUAAGAACUUCACACAUCACCGACACAGAUAUAUUGAACAAAAAGCAAAAGAGGGAAAUUCAUCUUAAAAACGCAACGUGCCUAAAAUAUGUUUGCAGGAUUUGAUGUCUCUGAGUAUUGUACGUUUUAUCCACAACACACAAAAACUCAAUAAAUGAAACAAC
Long non-coding RNA from Bradysia coprophila, 927 nucleotides. RefSeq lists it as uncharacterized. The record is from RefSeq and is a predicted model, not a curated record. Lineage: Eukaryota; Metazoa; Arthropoda; Insecta; Diptera; Sciaridae.